UACAGAGGUCCCGAGCGUUGUUCGGAUUCACUGGGCGUAAAGGGUGCGCAGGUGGGUUGGCAAGUUUGAUGUGAAAGCCCCGGGCUUAACCCGGGAAUGGCAUUGAAUACUGCUGAUCUGGAGGAUCGGAGGGGGGACUGGAAUUCUUGGUGUAGCAGUGAAAUGCGUAGAUAUCAAGAGGAACACCAGUGGCGAAGGCGAGUCCCUGGACGAUACCUGACACUGAGGCACGAAAGCAAGGGGAUCAAACAGG
RNAcentral lists this ribosomal RNA (253 nucleotides) under uncultured bacterium. Its description in RNAcentral is "partial 16S ribosomal RNA". It matches the Rfam family "Bacterial small subunit ribosomal RNA", at positions 524 to 776 of the family's 1533-position model. The record is from RNAcentral.